AUUGAACGCUGGCGGCAUGCCUUACACAUGCAAGUCGAACGGUAACAGGUCUUCGGAUGCUGACGAGUGGCGAACGGGUGAGUAAUACAUCGGAACGUGCCCGAUCGUGGGGGAUAACGGAGCGAAAGCUUUGCUAAUACCGCAUACGAUCUACGGAUGAAAGCAGGGGACCGCAAGGCCUUGCGCGGACGGAGCGGCCGAUGGCAGAUUAGGUAGUUGGUGGGAUAAAAGCCCACCAAGGCGACGAUCCGUAGCUGGUCUGAGAGGAUGAUCAGCCACACUGGAACUGAGACACGGUCCAGACUCCUACGGGAGGCAGCAGUAGGGAAUAUUGCGCAAUGGGGGAAACCCUGACGCAGCGACGCCGCGUGAGCGAAGAAGGCCUUAGGGUUGUAAAAGCUCUGUUUUAGGGGACGAAUGUCACGGUGAGUAAUAUGCGCUGUGAAUGACGGUACCCUAAGAGGAAGCCCCGGCUAACUACGUGCCAGC
Molecule: ribosomal RNA, 489 nt
Filed under: uncultured bacterium
Lineage: Bacteria
Description: bacterial SSU rRNA
Rfam family: Bacterial small subunit ribosomal RNA
Source: RNAcentral